Non-coding RNA from Podarcis lilfordi (Lilford's wall lizard), 85 nucleotides. The record is from the annotation of a GenBank genome assembly. Lineage: Eukaryota; Metazoa; Chordata; Lepidosauria; Squamata; Lacertidae.
CUCUUAAUGGAUUCUCUUGAAAAUAUAAAACCAAAUAAACAUAAGUCUUAUAUGGUUUUAUAUUUUCAAGAGAAUCCAUUAAGAG